RNAcentral lists this long non-coding RNA (814 nucleotides) under Priapulus caudatus. RNAcentral describes it as "uncharacterized LOC106820937, transcript variant X2". Lineage: Eukaryota; Metazoa; Priapulida; Priapulimorpha; Priapulimorphida; Priapulidae. The record is from RNAcentral.
GUGACAUUUUCUCGACCGCAUACCAACAUCGACGUUAGAGGUCUUUCGAUACCGCUUAAUAUUCUGCGUGUCUUUGGAUAUGCAACACAUCGCAUUAAUAUUAAUAGUAGCGGGCGCCAUCUGUGCGGUGCAGACCGCACCUCAGCCACAUAAUGUUAACGCCGACGACCUGCACGAUAUUAUGAAGAAGCUGCUGCCAUUAUUACAGCGAUCACGCGCCAAAGCCGAAAGCAUCACGUCAGGAGGAAUCGGUGCAGAUGCGAACGAGAUCAAUGGAAAAAACGAGGCGUGGUCAAUGUUUGAGGAUGCCGACAGCGGCGAUGAGAAGCGCUUCGAUGACUACGGACACUGGCGGUUCGGCCGAUCGCAGCUGGCGGCAAGUAACACGGACAAACGAUACGAUGACUACGGCCAUUGGCGCUUUGGCUAGAUAUCAUAAUCGCGCACGCCCCGAUUAGCGAGUUUUCACGAAGGCAACGUACGGUUGAUUAAGCACCUAACUCAUGGGAAAAAGGAAGGGAGAUGGAUUUGCAAGCUUACAUCUAUAGCUCUGUCAAUUGCUUGUACACAUGUAUAUAUAUCAGGACUCUAACGGGAUACCGUUAGUGCUUUUAUAUCUGCUUAAUAGCGAUGUAUCUAUUCCGGGUUACAAUACACGGCACUACUGAUAAUCCUGAUAAUAAUAAAGUACCAGCAAAUCAAUGGAUCCAGUGAGAUAUGAGUGCAUGGCCUGUGGCCUGCGGACAUUUUUUCUAAAUACGUCAACGGGACAAAUCACAAUAAAGUGGCGAAAUGCAAUCGCUAAUUCAUUAUA